Molecule: long non-coding RNA, 795 nt
Filed under: Cricetulus griseus (Chinese hamster)
Lineage: Eukaryota; Metazoa; Chordata; Mammalia; Rodentia; Cricetidae
Description: lncRNA (ENSCGRG00015034421.1)
Source: RNAcentral
AGUCAGCUGACUUCCUGUUGCCUUCAAGAUGUAGGACUCUCAGCUCCAGCACCACAUCUGCCUUCAUGCUGCAUGUUCCCUUUCAUGGCCAUAUGGAAUGAACUUCUGAAACUGCUGUCAUUUUCCUGCCCAGGGUCCAGAGGAUUCUCUGCUGCUGCCAGUGUGAGCUGUCAGAACUGCCCUGUCUCUGAAGAGUACAGUCCCUAGCACUGGAUAAGCACCACUUCUGGAAGGUUGCUGGAUAUGAAGAGAGGGGAACAAGGCAUCCCCAAGGGAAGAAAUGGGUAAAACAGAGCAUAGACUCCAAGAGCUUGAACUGACACAAGGUGACACGUCUUCUACUGCCUUCAAACUGCAGAAUUCUGCAAAUGUUUCAAAGACUCUCUGGGUUGCUGAAUGUUCACCUGAUAGAGAUACUUUAAAAGCUGAAAGAAAUCCCUUCCUCUCAGAUCCUAUUGCAUUCAUUUUCUCACAUCCUCCCGCCAUCUGUGCUUCCUUCUUCUGGCUGUACUUCCAAACUAAAACUGGGGAGGAAAAGGAAUCUCGAUGAACAGGAAUCAUCCGCUGAAGAAGCCAAUGGACUGUUUUUGAUACAUUGUAAAGGUAUUUAUUUAAAUCCUGUCAGAAUCAAAGAAUACAUUCUUUUCCGGAAUUCUAGAAAUCCCCCAAAGAAAUGGUACACCAAAAAUAAAGGACAAACCAGAACCAACCUCCAUUUAUUUCAGGUUUUUCCCUCCAUCCCUUCCUCCCUUCCCCCUCCCCGUUUCUCUUUCUUUUCCCCAAGACAAAGUUUCC